RNAcentral lists this ribosomal RNA (1320 nucleotides) under Triticum aestivum (bread wheat). Its description in RNAcentral is "partial small subunit ribosomal RNA". Lineage: Eukaryota; Viridiplantae; Streptophyta; Magnoliopsida; Poales; Poaceae. The record is from RNAcentral.
AUGGGUAAGAAGCUAGUUUUGAAAGAACUGUAUGGUGAUUGGGAUAGCAUCUUUGACAAUUUGUAUAGGUUUAAAGCACAAGUUGAAAUCUCUUGCCCCGGUAGCAUAGUUCAGAUUGAUCAUUACACUAUAAAAGGAAAAAUCAGGUUUAGAAGGUUCUUCUUUGCUUUGAAACCUUGCAUAGACGGAUUCCUUACUGGUUGCAGGCGGUAUUUGGCAGUAGGUAGCACAUUCUUAACAGGCAGGUUCAAGGGGCAGCUGGCUAGUGCUACCGCUAUAGAUGGCCAUAAUUGGAUGUAUCCACUUUGUUUUGGAAUUUUUCAUUCUGAAACAAAUGAGAAUUGGAUCUGGUUCAUGCAAUUGCUUAUGCAAGCCAUUGGAUCACCAAGGGGUUUAGCCAUAAGCACUGAUGUCGGGAAGGCGAUGAUGACAGGGGUAAAGGAAGUUUUCCCAGAGGUAGAACAUAGGGAGUGCAUGUUUCACUUGGUGUCAAAGUUCAAGAAAAAAUAUCAUGGAAAGGUAUUUGAUAACCACCUUUGGGCUGCAGCUUACUCAUGGAGCACAUAUAUAUUUGAGAAAAAUUGGGUUGCAAUGGAGACAGCAAAGCCAGCGGCAACUGCACAUCUUAGGAAGUGGCACACUAGGUUGUGGAAUAGGAGUCAGUUCUCAACCAUUUGCAAGGUGGACUAUGUAACCAACAACCUGGCAUAGUGCUUCAAUAAUUGGAUUAAGCAACACAAGUCUUUGAAGUUGAACGACUUAAUGGACAAGCUUAGGCAGAUGAUUAUGAUCAUGUGGAAUCGCCGAAGAAAAGUAGCAAAGAAGUUGGUUGGCUUAAUUUUGCCCCACAUAAUUAAGAAGUAGAACGCAACGAGUAGAGAGUUAAACUUGGAGGUGGUAGAAAGCAAGGAAGAAGUUGCUGAAGUUACUCAAUUGGGAGGCAUCGGGUUUAGGUUUGUCAUCAACUUGCAUGACAACACAUGUUAUUGUAGACAAUGACAAGUUUCCGGCCUUCCUUGCAAACAUGCUCUAGCAUUCACCACAUCACUUGUCAAUGCGCAUAUACAAAAUUAUGUGGACUCGUAUUACUCCAUUGACAAGUUUAGAGCAGCUUAUAGCCAACUAAUCCCUGCUAUGUAUGACAAGACCCAGUGGCCCGAAUCUAACCAUGGAUUCUUCAUGCAUUCACCCUUGUUCAAAGUUGUAGCUGGCCGGCCUAUGGUGCCAUUUGACAGCCCUGCGAUGGGCACUAGAAGCAAAAAAACUAACCCAGCAAGCCCCACAAUGAGCACAAGAAGCAAACGAAGGCUUAGCUUGUGA